GAGACUAAGUCCCUAUAGAAAAAAGAUACUGGAAAGUUCUUUUUUCAAAAACUUCGGUGCCUAAGGAUAGGAUUAUGGCGGAUUAGCUUGUUGUUGGUGUAAAAGACCAACAAGGCGAUAAUCCGUACGGGUCGUGAGAGCGAUAGCCCGGAGAUGGAUUCUGAGACAUAAAUCCAGACUCUACGGAGUGCAGCAGGGACGAAACCUUCACAAUGCCUGAAAGGGUGAUGAGGGGACUCUGAGUGACUUGGCACUGCCAAGUCUUUUGUUUACUGUAGAUAGGUAAGCGAAUAAGCAGUGGGCAAUACGGUUGCCAGCCGCCGCGGUAAUAACCGAGCUGCAAGUGGUAAUCUCGUUUAUUGGGUCUAAAGCGUUCGUAGCUGGUCUGAUAAGUCUUUGAUGAAAUUGAUUAGUAAACUAAUCAGCUUGUCAAGGAUACUAUCAGACUAGGGACCGGGAGACGUUUGGGGUAUUCUUGGGGUAGGGGUAAAAUCCUUUAAUCCCAAGAAGACCACCUGUGGCGAAGGCGCCAAACGAGAACGGGUCCGACGGUGAGGGACGAAAGCUAGGGGAGCGACCGGGAUUAGAUACCCCGUUAGUCCUAGCUGUAAACGAUGCCUGUUUGGUGUUGCGGGUCCUUCGUGGAUGCGCAGUGCCGGAGCGAAGGCGUUAAACAGGCCACCUGGGAAGUACGGCCGCAAGGCUGAAACUUAAAGGAAUUGGCGGGGGAGCAC
RNAcentral lists this ribosomal RNA (734 nucleotides) under uncultured archaeon. RNAcentral's name for it is "bacterial SSU rRNA". It matches the Rfam family "Archaeal small subunit ribosomal RNA", at positions 142 to 879 of the family's 1478-position model. The record is from RNAcentral.